RNAcentral lists this long non-coding RNA (1714 nucleotides) under Triticum aestivum (bread wheat). RNAcentral's name for it is "long non-coding RNA (TAES_LNC026252)". The record is from RNAcentral. Lineage: Eukaryota; Viridiplantae; Streptophyta; Magnoliopsida; Poales; Poaceae.
GGCCUCGUAGCACUGUUCUUGACAGUGAUGUGAUGUAAUAAUGUAGGCUGAUGGUAGGUAACUUGUAGCUGUAGUUGGGACAAAUGCUGGAGAUUGUAAAAGAGAUAAACCAGUGUUGCUCAUGUUCAGGCUGUAGUUGGGACAAAUGCUGUUGUAUCUUAAUUCAUGUACUGUGUGUCAGUCACUCAUGGCAGCAUGGGUGUUUCACAAGCUCUGAAGAUUGUUGUGCUGAAAGUUCAAUUCUCCUUUCUUUUGUUUAUGCAUUUCAGAGAACUGAUAGUUCUAAGCUCAUGCUUUUUUGUCUGCUUUGCCAGAUCCAGAGCUCUUAUACUCUGUUGUUGUUCACUUUGUCGCUGCUGCUUUUGCUUUAACUGAUUUUUUUUCUUCUGUGUCGUAGUGCACCAUUGAACUCCUGGUAGUCUAGUUGUACUGGUUCUGCUCAUCUGUUUGCCAGAAUAUGCUCUUCUGCUCUUCAUUCUUCCUUUUGGGUUCUAUGGAGGUUUUGAAAAUACAUCAUGCAAAGUUAUUGAAUCUGCAAGCUUGUCUGCAAUGGGCUGUCUCCAGGAAAAGAAAACGGUAAUUGUCGACGACGAUGCAAACUUGCGGCCUGAAAACUUGCAAAAGGAAGCUUCUGGAGGCAAUGUCCCGGGCCCAGUUCAUCUGAAAGAACGUGUUGCAACUAUACAAAAAGGCAGAGUUCUACCGGUGCCAUUGCCACUUUCCUAGCUGACGACAUGCUGGGCACACCGCUGCUAUAGGUGACUCCUGAUUAUUUUCCUUUACUUAUCUUUAUUAUUUAUAGUGUGUUGAGUCCAGACUGUCUGAUGUUCAUUCCACAGGAACAUCCUGGAGCAGCUUGUGAAGAAUCACAGCCAUCGCUGCCCCAGCAAAGCACAGCUUGGUACCCGGCCUUUAACACACAUGAUGAAACAAAGUAGUACUGGUAUUAUUCUUUGUCUCCUUAUUUGGUUAUUAACCUGAUUAUUACAAACACUAUAUAGAAUUGGACAAACAAACACUAAUGCCACGUUAUAAGAUAGAAAAAGGUCGAAUUUCAACAGUGUAUAACAUAUAAAUAAGAUACAGGUGCACGUAUGGCAUAUUUUGCUUUGGACGAUCAUGCAUAUAAUGCAUAAAGUCUCUACAUGGGAAGUGGUAAUGGACGAACAUUAAAUCUGUCAAAAAGUAUUUCCUUUCCAACUUGCCAUACUUAGUAUUCUGUAUGGCCUAAUUCACCCUCGAUCAAUUGUCGGCUAGGAUUUGAUUCUCCCAUCUUAAAAUUUCCCACAGCAGUUUCUUUCAACUGCAGCUUGGAGCGCAAGAGCAUUUUUUGUCUAAGAAAAAACUUGCCCUAUACUAGGGAAGUGCAUCCGGAUGAGAGACGACAUCCCCUUAGUGAUUUUGUUCCUAAGAGACAACUUCUGCUCAGUGGCGGAGCUCGAAAGAAACAAUUGGGCGGGCCAGACUAAAGGAGAGCAAUUCUUUUUUCCAAAUUAUGAAUCAUAAGACAUGUCACAAGAUUGAGCUAGAAGAUAUGUCAUCUCUUUUUCUUUUAAAGACCAAAUCAAUGCUUCUUUCAGUCUGAUUUUCCUUGCCCGUGACUACCUAUAUUGCAAUUUGCAUAUGAUCAAAUCAUCAGGCUAUUACGUAUUUAUCAGUUUAUCACUACUUCACUAGCAGGACUGAUCACUGGAUGUAUGAAACUGAAAAAAAA